RNAcentral lists this ribosomal RNA (373 nucleotides) under uncultured organism. RNAcentral's name for it is "partial 16S ribosomal RNA". It matches the Rfam family "Bacterial small subunit ribosomal RNA", at positions 527 to 896 of the family's 1533-position model. The record is from RNAcentral.
GUAGGUGGCAAGCGUUGUCCGGAAUUAUUGGGCGUAAAGCGCGCGCAGGCGGUUCUUAAGUCUGAUGUGAAAGCCCACGGCUCAACCGUGGAGGGUCAUUGGAAACUGGAGAACUUGAGUACAGAAGAGGAAAGCGGAAUUCCACGUGUAGCGGUGAAAUGCGUAGAGAUGCGGAGGAACACCAGUGGCGAAGGCGGCUUUCUGGUCUGUAACUGACGCUGAGGCGCGAAAGCGUGGGGAGCAAACAGGAUUAGAUACCCUGGUAGUCCACGCCGUAAACGAUGAGUGCUAAGUGUUAGGGGGGUUUUCCGCCCCCCUUAGUGCUGCAGCUAACGCAUUAAGCACUCCGCCUGGGAGUACGGCCGCAAGGCUG